CGCAAAUGGCACUCUAUGGUAUUCCGUAGAGUACGUCUGUUUGAGCGUCGCGAACAUCUCCAUAAUUAGUUUUUUUUAAAUUGAUUGUGGGUUUUGAGGUUGUCAUAUAAGCAAUGACUCCCUUUAAAAUAAUUAGUGAUGACCUUAUGAAUGGGUUAAUACUGUGUGUUAUAAUGGAUUACAUCCAUCACCAGUCAGAGAGUAAUCUCGCCUUAGUAAUUUGUAGUGAUUGCUUCUAACUGCCAUUGGCAAACAAACUGAUCAAAUCGACCUCAAAUCAGAUGGGAUUACCCGCUGAACUUAA
RNAcentral lists this unclassified non-coding RNA (304 nucleotides) under Wallemia canadensis. RNAcentral's name for it is "partial contains 5.8S ribosomal RNA, internal transcribed spacer 2, and large subunit ribosomal RNA". The record is from RNAcentral. Lineage: Eukaryota; Fungi; Basidiomycota; Wallemiomycetes; Wallemiales; Wallemiaceae.